UUGUCCUACCUUUGUUCUCAGCGCUUGUUCUCGCUCUCUCUUGCAACCAUCAUCUCUCCGCAGGUCAGAACAAAUGUGUUCAUCCAUGCCCCAGGGAAGCUCUCCAUCACCUUCAUCCCAUGUCAUUUCCUACCAGGUCGUCCCACUCCCUCUCAUCCGUCGCCCUGAGUGCAGUGCAAUGCCGGGCACGUGGUCCAUUUCAGACAAUAGACCCAGGGAGGCAUUUCUACAGUUGUGAUAGCCAUGGUAUAGGAGGAUGCAGGUUCUGGAAGCAAAAGAACAAGUAUAUACAGUACCUGGGCGUCAGUUGGAGCCACAAUCGCCAUGCCUCACUUCUCGGAGAGAAUCAAGCCUGGCUAGAGAACAUGUUAAUCUUGUGCAUUGCCAAUCUUGUCGCCGUUGUCGUGCUCUUCAUCAGCUAGCAGAGCAAGUCCACCAGUUCGUCAGCUAGCCACUCCAUAGCUAGAACAUAUAUAUUUUGCAUCAAGUCCUCUCCAUGUUUCUCCAAGUACCAUCAUGCUUGCUCACCUACCGCGCUCCAGAGCCUGUGUUUAUGGUUGUUGUGCCAAUAAUUUUGGUUGAUUUGUUGCACUUA
Triticum aestivum (bread wheat) is the source of this 595-nucleotide long non-coding RNA. RefSeq lists it as uncharacterized. NCBI's taxonomy places the organism in Eukaryota, Viridiplantae, Streptophyta, Magnoliopsida, Poales, Poaceae. The transcript has 2 exons. The record is from RefSeq and is a predicted model, not a curated record.